GGAUAACCUGCCCUUGGGACCGGCAUAACCCCGGGAAACUGGGGAUAAUUCCGGAUAACGCAUAUUUGCUGGAAUGCUUUAUGCGUCAAAAGGAUUCGUCUGCCCAAGGAUGGGUCUGCGGCCUAUCAGGUAGUAGUGGGUGUAAUGUACCUACUAGCCAGCGACGGGUACGGGUUGUGAGAGCAAGAGCCCGGAGAUGGAUUCUGAGACAUGAAUCCAGGCCCUACGGGGCGCAGCAGGCGCGAAAACUUUACAAUGCGGGAAACCGUGAUAAGGGGACACCGAGUGCCAGCAUCAUAUGCUGGCUGUCCGGAUGUGUAAAAUACAUCCGUUAGCAAGGGCCGGGCAAGACCGGUGCCAGCCGCCGCGGUAACACCGGCGGCCCGAGUGGUGAUCGUGAUUAUUGGGUCUAAAGGGUCCGUAGCCGGUUUGGUCAGUCCUCCGGGAAAUCUGAUAGCUCAACUAUUAGGCUUUCGGGGGAUACUGCCAGACUUGGAACCGGGAGAGGUAAGAGGUACUACAGGGGUAGGAGUGAAAUCUUGUAAUCCCUGUGGGACCACCUGUGGCGAAGGCGUCUUACCAGAACGGGUUCGACGGUGAGGGACGAAAGCUGGGGGCACGAACCGGAUUAGAUACCCGGGUAGUCCCAGCCGUAAACGAUGCUCGCUAGGUGUCAGGCAUGGCGCGACCGUGUCUGGUGCCGCAGGGAAGCCGUGAAGCGAGCCACCUAGGAAGUACGGCCGCAAGGCUGAAACUUAA
Molecule: ribosomal RNA, 759 nt
Filed under: uncultured archaeon
Lineage: Archaea
Description: bacterial SSU rRNA
Rfam family: Archaeal small subunit ribosomal RNA
Source: RNAcentral